AUUGAACGCUGGCGGCAGGCCUAACACAUGCAAGUCGAGCGGAUGAAGGGAGCUUGCUCCUGGAUUCAGCGGCGGACGGGUGAGUAAUGCCUAGGAAUCUGCCUGGUCGUGGGGGAUAACGUCCGGAAACGGGCGCUAAUACCGCAUACGUCCUGAGGGAGAAAGUGGGGGAUCUUCGGACAUCACGCUAUCAGCAGCGCCUAGGUCGGAUUAGCUAGUUGGUGGGGUAAAGGCCUACCAAGGCGACGAUCCGUAACUGGACUGAGAGGAUGAUCAGUCACACUGGAACUGAGACACGGUCCAGACUCCUACGGGAGGCAGCAGUGGGGAAUAUUGGACAAUGGGCGAAAGCCUGAUCCAGCCAUGCCGCGUGUGUGAAGAAGGUCUUCGGAUUGUAAAGCACUUUAAGUUGGGAGGAAGGGCAGUAAGUUAAUACCUUGCUUUAUUGACGUUACCAACAGAAGAAGCACCGGCUAACUUCGUG
Molecule: ribosomal RNA, 484 nt
Filed under: uncultured bacterium
Lineage: Bacteria
Description: partial 16S ribosomal RNA
Rfam family: Bacterial small subunit ribosomal RNA
Source: RNAcentral